Molecule: long non-coding RNA, 500 nt
Filed under: Mytilus galloprovincialis (Mediterranean mussel)
Lineage: Eukaryota; Metazoa; Mollusca; Bivalvia; Mytilida; Mytilidae
Source: RNAcentral
GUCCGUUCGUCUGUUCAUCCAUUUAUUGCACGCUUCAGGUUAAAGUUUGAGCGAUAUCAAGGCACCGUCGAGCCUCUAGCUUGUUUAUACCCUAAAUACUACGUACCUUGAAGGACAUUUUUUUUAUACGAUUGUACAUAUCAUGGAUACUUGAUUUACUUGAUUUUACAUAUGCUUAAAAUGGAGGUUAUCCAAAAUUGGACGGAUACAUUGUAUCAAGACAAAUGAUAACAAGUGUGAGAUCACUGAGGAAUAUUAGAAUAUUCCACAGAUGGAACAAUUUUCCAUUUAAAGGUGCAUUCAAAAUGCAUUUGGAAAUCAACAUGAAGCAAGUUUAUGUCUACAAGGGAAUGUUCCAAAUUCAAAAACCACCUUUACACUGUAAACUAUAUAUAUAUAUCUAUUACUCUAGGCCACACAUUUUCCUGAAAAAUAUGAAAAUUUGUUCGAUAUAAAUAGUAUAUAAUGUGAAACAUUUGUUUUAUAAAGUAUAUUUUGGG